GUGUUGUCUGAAUGGAGAGAAGGUUCAUAUUCCCCUUGAGGAGUAUGGAAGGGUACUUGGGUCUAAAAGAAUGCAUAUGGUUAAGGCAGUGUGACCUACUUUGUGGCAUCUAGUCACUGUUUUUU
This is a small nuclear RNA of Mesocricetus auratus (golden hamster), 125 nucleotides long. Lineage: Eukaryota; Metazoa; Chordata; Mammalia; Rodentia; Cricetidae. The record is from Ensembl.